AAGGCGGCCACCUGGACAGGCAUUUACGCUUAGGUACCAAAAUGUKGGGAACAAACAGGAUUAGAUUCCCUGGUAGUCCACCCCGUAACGAUGGAUUCUAGGUUUCGGGGACGUGUUCUUCGGUGCCGUAGCUAACGCGUUAAGUAUCCCGCCUGGGGAGUACGGUCGCAAGGCUGAAACUCAAAGAAAUUGACGGGGGCCCGCACAAGCGGUGGAGUAUGUGGUUUAAUUCGAUGCAACGCGAAGAACCUUACCUAGGCUUGACAUCCUGGGAAUCCUUCA
Molecule: ribosomal RNA, 282 nt
Filed under: Desulfomicrobium sp. DsvB
Lineage: Bacteria; Pseudomonadati; Thermodesulfobacteriota; Desulfovibrionia; Desulfovibrionales; Desulfomicrobiaceae
Description: partial 16S rRNA
Rfam family: Bacterial small subunit ribosomal RNA
Source: RNAcentral